Molecule: ribosomal RNA, 119 nt
Organism: Callithrix jacchus (white-tufted-ear marmoset)
Lineage: Eukaryota; Metazoa; Chordata; Mammalia; Primates; Cebidae
Source: Ensembl
GUCUGUGGCCAUAUCACCCUGAACGCACCCAGUCUUGUCUGAUCUCGGAAUCUAAGCAGGGUCAGGCCUGGUUAGUACUUGGAUGGGAGACCAUCUGGAAUUACCAGGUGCUGCAGGCU